Molecule: non-coding RNA, 108 nt
Organism: Brassica rapa (field mustard)
Lineage: Eukaryota; Viridiplantae; Streptophyta; Magnoliopsida; Brassicales; Brassicaceae
Source: Rfam
AAUCUGUGGUGUGGACAGUCUCGUUGGAAGACCUGGAAUCUAAUCCACACAUCUUUAAAAGACUCUCCAGUCUCCUGCGCGAACGUAGCAAUUUUACUCCUCAAGUCU